GCCGGGCGGUUUGCAGCGACACUGGGCCCUGGAGAUCAGGGCUCCCUAGGGUCCCAGCGGAGUGCAAGCUCUCUGGCCUCCCGGACCGAAGGUGGCGGGCGAGUCCUGUCCCGACUCAGACAAGCUUCCUCGCCACCUUCCGGACAAAGUGUCAAGUACAAGUUCAAGUUCAGGGGCAGGCCCCAGGAGGAAGGCGGGUGGGGGGAGCCAUCCCCAGCUGCCUUUGUUCUCCGGGAUAAGCGCUCCCACGUCCCCCUCCCGGGCGGGGCCCGGCAGAUACCCCCGCCCCGCCCCGCCGCGCCCCGCAGCAGCCGCCUCCUCCCGCCCGCGCGGUGCCUGUGCCGGGGUCCCGGCUACCCUGCUCAAAGCCACCGAAGGGUCUGGGGGCUCGGGGCGGGGGGAUGCGCGGUCCGAGCCCGUGGGAGCCCCCCUAGCCCCGCAGUCCCAGCAGCAAACUGCGCUUGGUCGGACGGAUGCCCGCGCGCGCGGAGGGAAGCUGAGAGACUGGAAAUCUGGAGGUCAUUUCUGAGUAUGAAAUCUGGAAACCAUUCAGGUCUUAAAACCUUGCUCUCAGCACCUCGACAGAGAAGGCUCCAGAGAAGAACCUAAGUGGGUUUUUCAGUUCCAGGGAGCCCCAGUGGCACCACCCAAACUUGGAAAAGGAAUCAUGUUGAUCACCAGAGAUAGAAUCUCAUCAGAACUAGGCUGCGUGCCGGGGAGGCGAUGGGCCAAGAGGCUCCUGGAUGGCAUCCCACAGAGGCACCAGGAGGAUGUGGCCACAGGUGUGUAGGUCAACGAGACCACCGCAUCCUCUGGAAGAUCUGCUUCACAGAGCUGCAGGGCAGAAAGCCCUGUGGUUAGACCUGGCCAAGCACUCUUUCACUCACCCCUUCCCACAACCCGUUGCAGAGUUGGCUUCGUUUUUAGUUCUCCAGCCUUGGGAGGGAAAGACCUAGUUCAGAGGCCUUGACCUGUGCCCUCCCCGACCCCACCGCAUGCCCGCAUGCUGCAUGCCGGAUUCCCAAGGUGCGGAGCUUGUGUGGGUUCCCAGAGGCCUUCGGAGGCUGCGCGCAGUAGUUUUCUUCGCUUUAGAAGGCAGCAGACGGUUUUCAAAGGACCACAUCAUGGUGAAGACGGCCGGGAGGCUCUGGCGGCAAUGGUACUGCCGCUCGGGUCUUUGCCCACCCCCCUGGCUUGCUUUACACUCCUUGUUUCAAGUGAGGAAACACGUCACAGAUGUGAAGUGAGUGACCCAAGGUCGCCCAGCUGGAAAGUCACAACUCCAGCUCCAAAGAAACAUACAUGUGAGCCCACGGACUUCAUCUGCACCAGAGGCAUUGUGGCGCUGAUCCUGGAACCUGACUGCCUGGGUGUAACCUCAACUCUGCCAGCUGCUGACUUAACUCUCUCUGUGCCUGUGUUUCCUCGUCAGGAAAAGGCGAUGAGUUGUAACAAUGUAUCCACCCUGGCUGGCAUGGCUGUGAAGACUGAAGGGGAUAAUGUGUAUGACAUGGCUGUGAAGACUGGAGGGGAUAAUGUGUAUGACGGACUUGGCACUGUGAAGCUAUCCUCCCUACUGUUCCCACUGCUCUAGGUCUGAGCUCCUCCCCCGGCCAUGGCGGGCAAGUCCAGAGGGUGGAGAGGAAAGCCAGGCUGAGAAUUUCUUGCCUCAUCAUCCUCGAUGUUCAGGAGCAGAGAGGGCACAGGACAGAGGAGGGGCCGCGUGACUGCCCGGGCUGCUGAGCAAUUUACUGGAGAAGCUCAUUUGGCAACUCUGAUUCCAAGUUAAUUAAAGAUGGCCACCGGGGGUCAUUGCCAUGGUGACAAUUAGGCCAGAAAGAAGCCUCAUUAAGUAAUGUAAGUGCAUAGAUGAAAAUGAGAAGUCCCAGGAAGUCACAAAAGAGGCUGUCCCUGCUGUACCCCACCCCAGACAUAAUGUCUGUUGACAUUUUCCGUGUGAUAAGUGAAGCACAGGCUACAGGAUGCAAAGAACAGAGAAGAGGAACAUGGACUUCGGUGUCUGUGCCCUUUUCUACUGUGUGUAUUUUAUCAGAAAAAUGUCGAAUAAACGGCAGUGAAAAUACCAACUAAUGCAGCAUUCCUCUAGGUAUGGAGAUGUAUCACACACUUUUCUCUGCAAAAAUAGGGGUCGCAUUGUACCUACGAUUUUGAAACCUGAAUUUAUCACGUCAAGAUAACGAAGUGUCUUGAAUGCUUUUUCCGGAUGCUUCAACUUUUUUUUUUUUUUUAAAGCACAUUGCAAACUAUUCAAACUGCAAAGGCAAAAAUCAGACAAACAAGUUUCCUGUCUGAGCCUCCCUCUCUUUUGUUCCCCUCUACAGAGGCAGCCCUGAAGGUCCAUUUCUCUUCUCCACUUCCUUCCCUCCUUCUAGCCCAAGCCGGCUUUGAACCCAACAAAUACCUGAAGAUGGCCAUGAACUUCUGAUCCACCUGCCUCCACCUCCAGAGUACUGAUAUUUCACGCGUGCUCUACUAUGCCUGGUUUUGUGCCAUGUAAGAGGAAUUUCUUGUGCUCACAGAGAAGCACUAGGGAAACCAGGAAUGUUAAACACACAGGGUAGUCUCUCAAAAGGAGGAGAUGUACAACCAGUUUUCAGCCCAGAAGGCUGGGAGCAGACGUGGUUGAUAGCCUGGUGACCUUUAACGCUAUUGUGGCCGAAAGAGAUCACACCGGAUCCUCUCUACACCCUUAUCUUAAGCUUAUUUUCUCAGUUAACCUAUAGAACCCAUCUUGAUGGAAGAUGUCACAGGUCUCUUGUACUUUACAAAGAGUUUUGAUGUAGCCAUGUCUUAAGCUUUGUUGUGCACAAGAGAUUGAGUUAAUUAUAACCAGAAAACUUUUCACCAAAUUGUGCUGUGCUUAAAUAUGCCUAAAAUAAACUACUCAGGGUCAGACUCUUGAAGGUUAAA
Non-coding RNA from Peromyscus maniculatus bairdii (prairie deer mouse), 2931 nucleotides. NCBI's taxonomy places the organism in Eukaryota, Metazoa, Chordata, Mammalia, Rodentia, Cricetidae. The record is from RefSeq and is a predicted model, not a curated record.